RNAcentral lists this ribosomal RNA (1256 nucleotides) under metagenome. RNAcentral's name for it is "SSU rRNA". It matches the Rfam family "Eukaryotic small subunit ribosomal RNA", at positions 603 to 1823 of the family's 1831-position model. The record is from RNAcentral.
AUUAAAGUUGUUGCGGUUAAAAAGCUCGUAGUUGGACUUGAGGGAUUUAUAUAAAAGAAUUUUAGUUAAAACUAAAUAUUUUUUAUUAUUUUUUCCUUUCUUUGUAUUUUUUAAAAGAUGUAGGAGUAAAAUCUUAUAUUUUUUUUGGGGAAUAGAUAGUUUACUUUGAAAAAAUUAGAGUGUUUAAAGCAGACAUGACAUGUACAAUUGAAUAUUACAGCAUGGGAUAAUUGAAUAGGACAUUAACCUUAAUUUUGUUGGUUUUGGAGGUUAAUAGUAAUGAUAAAAAGGGAUAGUUGGGGUCACUUGUAUUUGAUCGCUAGGGGUGAAAUCCUAUGAUUGAUCAAAGACAAACUACUGCGAAAGCAUUUGACAAGGAUGUUUUCAUUGAUCAAGAACGAAAGUUAGGGGAUCGAAGAUGAUUAGAUACCGUCGUAGUCUUAACCAUAAACAAUGUCGACUUUGGAUUAGAAAAUAUUACAUGGAUGAUUUUCCUAGCACAAUAUGAGAAAUCAUAAGUAUUCAGACUCCGGGGGGAGUAUGGUCGCAAGAGUGAAACUUAAAGGAAUUGACGGAAGGGCACCACCAGGAGUGGAACCUGCGGCUUAAUUUGACUCAACACGGGGAAACUUACCGGGUCCGGACACUUUGAGGAUUGACAGAUUGAUAGCUCUUUCUUGAUUAAGUGGUUGGUGGUGCAUGGCCGUUUUUAGUUGGUGGAUUGAUUUGUCUGGUUAAUUCCGAAAACGAACGAGACCUUAACCUAUUAAAUAGUAUAAUUAAAAUUGAAUGCAAAUUCUUGAAAUUUGAAAAAAAAGAUUGGAUACUUCUUAAAGGAACUCUUCAUAUUUUAGUGAAUGGAAGUUUAAGGCAAAAACAGGUCUGUGAUGCCCUUAGAUGUUCCGGGCUGCACGCGCGUUACACUGAUGCGAUCAAAGAGUUUAAUUUAAAUUUCCUUAUUUGAAAAGAUUGGGUAAACUUUAAAAUCGUAUCGUGAUUGGGAUAGUGCUUUGUAAUUAUCGCACUUGAACGAGGAAUUCCUAGUAGGUGCAAGUCAUCAUCUUGCUCCGAUUACGUCCCCGCCCUUUGUACACACCGCCCGUCGCUCCUACCGAUUGAAUAAUCCGAUGAGGAUUCAGGAUAGAGGAUUUUUAUUUGUCUGAAAGGAUAUUUAAAGAUUUUUUAAAAUUUAUUCAAAUCUUAUUAUUUAGAGGAAGGAGAAGUCGUAACAAGGUUUCCGUUGGUACCAGCGGAAG